CCUACGGGUGGCUGCAGUCGAGGAUCUUCGGCAAUGAGCGCAAGCUUGACCGAGCGACGCCGCGUGGGCGAUGAAGGCCUUCGGGUUGUAAAGCCCUGUCGAGAGGGAGAAAGGGAAACUUGAUCUAUCUCUGGAGGAAGCACGGGCUAAGUUCGUGCCAGCAGCCGCGGUAAGACGAACCGUGCGAACGUUGUUCGGAAUCACUGGGCUUAAAGGGCGCGUAGGCGGGUCGCCAAGUUUGGGGUGAAAUCCUCCGGCUCAACCGGAGAACGGCC
RNAcentral lists this ribosomal RNA (275 nucleotides) under uncultured bacterium. RNAcentral describes it as "partial 16S ribosomal RNA". It matches the Rfam family "Bacterial small subunit ribosomal RNA", at positions 338 to 625 of the family's 1533-position model. The record is from RNAcentral.